AACGAACGCUGGCGGCAUGCCUAACACAUGCAAGUCGAACGAGACCUUCGGGUCUAGUGUCGCACGGGUGCGUAACGCGUGGGAACCUGCCCUCAUGUUUGGAAUAACUCCCCGAAAGGGGUGCUAAUACCAGAUAAUGUCUUCUGACCAAAGAUUUAUUGCCUCGGGUUGGUCCCGAGUUGGGUUAGGUAGUUGGUAGGGUAAAAGCCUACCAAGGCGGAGAUCCAAAGCUGGUCUGGGUGGAUGAUCAGCCACACUGCGACUGAGACACGGCCCGAACCCUCAGGGAAGGGAGAAGUGGGGAAGAUGGAACGAUGGGCGAAAGCCGAAGGCAGCAGGGCCGCGAGAGUGAUGAAGGCCUUAGGGUGGUAUAGCUAUUUUACCGGGCAUGAUAAGGACGGAACCGGGAAAAUAAGCACGGGCAAACUCGGG
This 432-nucleotide ribosomal RNA is filed under the name uncultured bacterium. Its description in RNAcentral is "partial 16S ribosomal RNA". It matches the Rfam family "Bacterial small subunit ribosomal RNA", at positions 29 to 506 of the family's 1533-position model. The record is from RNAcentral.